GAUGAACGCUAGCGGCAGGCUUAAUACAUGCAAGUCGAGGGGCAUCAAGGUACACGAAAGUGUAUUGUUGGCGACCGGCGGACGGGUGAGUAAUAGGUAGGUAACCUACCUCAUACUGAGGCAUAGCUGGGAGAAAUUCCAGGUAAUUCCUCAUGAGGUUAUAUGACACAUGUGAUAUAAUCAAAGGUAUCGCAAGGUACUGGUAUGAGAUGGGCUUACUGACCAUUAGCUAGUUGGUGAGAUAAGAGCUCACCAAGGCGAAGAUGGUUAGGGGUUUUGAGAGAGAGAUCCCCCACAUUGGAACUGAGAUACGGUCCAGACUCCUACGGGAGCAGCAGUAGGGAAUAUUGGGCAAUGGGCGAAGCCUGACCCAGCCAUGCCGCGUGAAGGAAGACGGCCUUAUGGGUUGUAAACUUCUUUACUAUGCGACUAACUAGAUUUACGAGAUAAUUCUAUAGAAUGUAGCAUAGCAAAAGCACCGGA
This 483-nucleotide ribosomal RNA is filed under the name uncultured bacterium. Its description in RNAcentral is "bacterial SSU rRNA". It matches the Rfam family "Bacterial small subunit ribosomal RNA", at positions 28 to 497 of the family's 1533-position model. The record is from RNAcentral.